AUGAACGCUGGCGGCGUGCCUAAUACAUGCAAGUCGAGCGAACAGACGAGGAGCUUGCUCCUCUGACGUUAGCGGCGGACGGGUGAGUAACACGUGGAUAACCUACCUAUAAGACUGGGAUAACUUCGGGAAACCGGAGCUAAUACCGGAUAAUAUAUUGAACCGCAUGGUUCAAUAGUGAAAGACGGUUUUGCUGUCACUUAUAGAUGGAUCCGCGCCGCAUUAGCUAGUUGGUAAGGUAACGGCUUACCAAGGCAACGAUGCGUAGCCGACCUGAGAGGGUGAUCGGCCACACUGGAACUGAGACACGGUCCAGACUCCUACGAGAGGCAGCAGUAGGGAAUCUUCCGCAAUGGGCGAAAGCCUGACGGAGCAACGCCGCGUGAGUGAUGAAGGUCUUCGGAUCGUAAAACUCUGUUAUUAGGGAAGAACAAAUGUGUAAGUAACUAUGCACGUCUUGACGGUACCUAAUCAGAAAGCCACGGCUAACUACGUG
This 496-nucleotide ribosomal RNA is filed under the name uncultured bacterium. Its description in RNAcentral is "partial 16S ribosomal RNA". It matches the Rfam family "Bacterial small subunit ribosomal RNA", at positions 29 to 507 of the family's 1533-position model. The record is from RNAcentral.